UUGACCUCGGAUCANGUAGGGAUACCCGCUGAACUUAA
This 38-nucleotide ribosomal RNA is filed under the name Verrucaria lignicola. RNAcentral's name for it is "partial 28S ribosomal RNA". Lineage: Eukaryota; Fungi; Ascomycota; Eurotiomycetes; Verrucariales; Verrucariaceae. The record is from RNAcentral.